This is a long non-coding RNA of Dromaius novaehollandiae (emu), 6363 nucleotides long. RefSeq lists it as uncharacterized. Lineage: Eukaryota; Metazoa; Chordata; Aves; Casuariiformes; Dromaiidae. The record is from RefSeq and is a predicted model, not a curated record. The transcript has 4 exons.
CGGCGGAGGCGCGGGCAGGCGGGCGCCCUCCCGCUUCGCCUCGGGCGGGGGUCAGCGCGGGGCGGCGCGGGGCCGCCCCUGGCUGCAGGGGAAGGCUGCGCCCCGUCCCUGCGCCCGCGGGCCGCCGGCGGGACCGCCCCGGGCAGAAAUGACAUAAAGGACAUUUUCUGGAGGAAAUAAAGGAAUGCAUCUCACACUGGCCCAGCAGAACAAAGCAGAGGCCAAACUUGAACUCAGGCCUCAAUGUAUGGGUGAUCUUUUUUCAACUGUGGUGAGAUGUUCCCUCUAACUCAUCUUAAAAUGUGGAACUGCUGUACAUUGCCUGUGGGAAAAAAGCCCAAAGCCACAUAGUGAUGUAUCUGUUCAACAGUGUGAAAGAGAAAUUCCCUAUUCACAGUCCUGCACAGUCAACAUUACCUGCUGGCCUGGAAGAUUUCUGGAAUGUCCCAGGUCAUCAAAUGCAGAAGAUGUUCUUUCUGAAGGAGAAGAUUCAGUGGGAAUCCUGUUCGGCUCACCUCCUCCUCAUCACCCAAAUGCACAGCUGAAAAAGGAACAGAAGGGAUGUGGGACAACACAUCCAGUUCCGAUGGCAUUACACAACUCACCCACCAGAAAGAGAUGGAAUUAUCUUCAUCUUCGAGGGAGCCCUGGGCCAUUGGUUUAAAGUUUGUGGGGGCUAGAGGAUAAACGAGAGUCAGGAAGCGAGAGAAACAAGAGACCUCAGCUAACUUGCAGAGGAUUAUGGAGACUUGCAGAAUGCACAGAUCCCAAUGAACAUUUCUGGAGUACAGUAAGUUAUCAGUAGAUCAAUUUCUAUAUGUUUUUCUGGACCAAGGUGAGUGGAAGGAAGCUAGAGGCCCCCAGAAAGGCACUGGAACUUACCCAUGGAGCUCUGAGCUCAUAAAUGCAUCACUUUUUGCAGCCGUGGUCCGGGAUGAGAAGCAAGCACGUAUAAGGAGGCUGAGAACUGAUUGUCAUGAGCUCUAUAAACACAUCUCUGCAGCUAGCUUACAUGCUGGAAAAGGGACUAGAGUCUGUUUCAUUUUCAAACUAUCAGUAAAAAUAAUACAUUUCGUUUAUGAGAGAAAGCAAAUUUACAGUAAUGCAAAGAAAUGGUUCAACUAAAUGCAGACAGCAGAAAAAAAGUAAAAAGCCUUUUAUACAGCUAGCCAGACUACAGCAUAAAAAUGUCUAGUGACAGCAUGUCUCAUUUCAAAAAAAAGGGACAUCAAUAAUUAGUGGGCAAAGCAUGGAAAAACAAGGACCCAUCCCAGCAUAUACUUAAAACUGGGCAGUUGAGCAACAUGAAUGGGAGCUUGGUUAUUAACCAACGUGGACAUAGCUUCAAACAUGACAAUUAUUAGAUCAGCCUGGCUAAGCAGACUCAGAGUGAGUCUGCUUGUGCCUUUUUUGGUGACUAAUAGUGACUGUCAAUUGACAGGUGGUACCUUAUAAAUCCAGUCUGUGGCUGAUCCUCUAAAGAUCUGUUUGUGUGAAGCAAGUAAUUUACCAGUGUGAACAAACUGUCCUGCAACAAUAAAUGCAGCUGAACAUUAUGUUAGUCUUCCAGCAGAAGAAACCUUUGGUGGAAAACAGUUUUUGGACAAAGUUUACAGCAGGAUCUUAUGUGUUAGGUUUUUAGCAGAUCUGAAGGAGGAAUGAAUUCUUGUACAUUUGAUAAUGUGACUAACAUGAAGCAAACAGUAAAAAGAAAAAAGUGAUACUUGUAAAACUUGAGCCACUGGAGUAAAAGAAGAGUAUAUAGGAAGAACACUAAAGGGGUGAAACUGAAGGUGAGAUGGACUUAGGGGUUUCUGUUAGAUUUUUCUGAUAUGGUACUACUCCUUUAAACAGGCAGCUGGAGGAUGGUCCAAAAGACCUUCUGGUUAAGGGUCAAGGUUUUUUCCCUGACUGAGCAAAGACCGAGGUUGCAGUGUUCCCAGCCAUCUCCACACUGUCAGCAGGAGAACCAGCACAUCAAACAGCCACCUCCUCUUUUGCCAGGAAGCAAGGAAAGAAAAGGCUACAAAGGACAUGGAAAAAACAUAUCAGAAGAGCAUAGCUGAACCUUCAGCUGUUCCUGUGCUUCAACCAUAAUUCUUGUUAGAAAAAAAAAUAAUGUCAGAAUUGGUUACUGUGUAGAAACUACCUUGAACCCUUUAAAGGGCUUUCUGUGAGUGACCAUGAAUAGAUGAUUCCCCAGACCCUGUAACAAUUUAAUCUGAUUUUUCACACUGAAUAUUAAGUCAGGAUUGUUAAUGGAAAUUGGCCGAAAAGACAAAAAAAAACAUUUUAUUGCAGACGAGGUUUGUGGAAAUUCAAUAUGAUGGCCUUUGAUUUGGUAGCAGGUAACUAUAUUUGAAAGACCACCAGAGAAGGCUUUGGUCCAGGAACUCCUCCUGGCCUGUUUACUACAGCUAGAUAAUACCCUGGGCACAUGCUAGUAUCUUUGAACAAAAUUAGAUAUAUUUACAAAUAGUCUGGGAUCAGCUCAAGGCUGCUGAUCUACUGUACCCAAAGAAAUAUUAAUUAUUUUGAAAAGAAUGAAUUUAGUUCUGGCACAUAGAACAGUGAGGAGGGAAAUUCUACUCUUAAGAUAUUUGAACACCAGCCAGUUCCACAGAGACUCACAGUUUUGUGGGACUUUAAUCCUACUAGAGGAGGCUUAUUCGUGUGUUUCACAAUAUUACAUAACAUUUGCAUAAAAAGGGUAGGAAAGGAAUGUUAUUUCAAUGGUCAGUGUGUGAUUUAGUAUUUUCAGAGAUGAAAAGAUUCUUCUGAUUUUUUCUGUGUUAACCUACCAGGGUUUCAAAUCUCCUUUUCUAUUAGACACAGAUGCCAGUGCUUAUGGAUUAAGUAUCGAUACAGGAAUGUAAAUGACUUGAGAGGAUGACAGUUUAUUAGAGUCAAUAGCUAAGCUCUCCUGGGAAAAAAUCAUUGCAUGCUCUGCCAGUGAUUAAACUAUAGAAUAUUUUCAAAACUAUCUGUAUGGAAGAAAGCUUGUGAUCAGAACAGACCAGGCACCCCAGCAGCCAUUCUUCAAAUUCAAAACCAGAGGGGCAACUUAUCCACAGAUUAGAAUAACUGAGGUGCUAUGGUUUUGUAGUAACCCGAAAGCAUGGAUUGAGGCAUAACAUUGGUUGCUAUUGAUGUUUUGUCCAGAUAGUUUCAUUACUGGAUUGAUUGCAAAUGCCAGUCUACACAAGCAAGGAACAAAGAACUGAUUGCUCAGGGGAAUGAGCAUGUUUGGAAAGAGAUGCUUGUCUCCUGUCUUCCUUCAGCUUGCAAAUCCAGUCGAACAGUGGCUAUAGGGACUCCAGAGAAACCAACCGAUUCCCACAGAGAGAACCUGAUACCAGAACAGUGUGCAUUUGGCGACAGCUAUCCUGAGAUACGAUCUCUUCUUUAAAAUACCCCAGUGAAAACUGUUCACAGUGGGACGGUUCAGGGUUUAUGGUAAAAUACUGAGGGCAAAAAGGAGCAAAUGACAAGUUUUAUUAGCUAGCUCUAGAUCCACUGGGGAAAAAAAAAGGUUGCCAGGUAAUGUCAUCAUUUAAAAACUGCUGGAUAUUUGAGGGGUUGCAAACAGUGGUGUGAUUUCUACUGGGUGAAGUACAAAAUAGAUGUAGAAAAACUGGCCAAGGAAGCUUGAGGGAUAGGAGGGAUCUUCUGUCUGCUGCUCUGUGCAGCAGUAUUUUAGGACUAUACUUACUGAGCAAAUCUUUCUGAUGUUCUUGAAUAAGGACUGGUAAAUGUUAUUUGCUUGAUGUCUUUGAACUAGUUCACAGAAUGGCCUAAAGUUUAUUUAGGAAGGCAUGAAGUGGGACAGACUGAUCAGAGAGAAUCAAUUAGGUUUAGGAUUUGGGGGUGAGUCAUACACAGGUCAGGGAAGAAAUUUUGACUCAGAAGUGUUUCUGUAGUUUAGUGAGACUAUAGGAAAUAGAUUAAAUAUGUACCAUCUCAGUGCAGCCAACUUCUGAUGAGAUGAUAGGGAAAUUCAGAGUGGAUGCUGGCAGUUCAGCAGGCUUCCUUAGCAACAUAAAGGCAAGAAUCAGCAUUUCCCAUUCCUUUGGAAAACUUAGAGCAGGCCAUGAAAACAUGGAGUUUACCCUGCUCUUCCUCACUCUUGGUUAGAGGCUAGACACUUCUCCAGAUCUUCUGUCUGGAGUUCCCUUAGAGUGACAAUGAUGUGGGUCAGGCAGAAGUUUCAGAUUCCCAGAGAAGAAACUGAAAUGUCUCACACUUGCUUGGAUGUAUCUGAAGACAACUUCUGAUAAAUAUGACUGCAUGAUCCUGAUACCUCUAGGGUGUGACCCAAGAGCACUUCCCAGCUCUUGGAUGUGGGUGCUGUCCUGGCUAUGCCAGGACAAGACCCACAGUACACCAUCCCUUCUACAUCCUCAUUUUCAUUCAAAGAUUCAAGAGAAACUUGGCCACAUGGACUAGGACAGCGCUGUGUGACUGGCGAAACCAGGACUGCCGCAUGUGCCACAAAUGAUAGUUCUUUUCAGUAAAAACAAUGCCACUGAAACAAGGAUGAUUUUUUUAGAAACAUAUCAGGCCCUGUUCACUUUCACUGCAGCUAAGGCAGUUCCUGAGUUUGUGGCAAACUUUGAAGACUACAGUGUCCUCUCCACAGAGCAAGUCACAGAUGGAACUAUUUCAAAGUGGGAAUUUGAGAGUCCCUAUCACUGCUUUGUGAAAUCAGUGCUCAUUUUAGCUGCAAUAAUCACCAAGCAGAUGAACAGUUUGGGGAACUUCCAGUUCAUGAGAAUUCCUGAAAAUAUCUCCCUUAGACUUGAUUUGGACUGAAAUGAAAUUCUAAAAGCCCCUUCAAAUUUCCCAUGGACCACAAAUCCUACUUUUUCAAUCAGAUCGAGGUGGAAACCUUAAACUGGAUAAACCUUGGAUAGGUCCCUACAUAGAGCUGAUGUGAACAGAAGAAGCAGUGUCAAAGAGGCAGUUUAGUUCCAAGACUGAACCCCAAAUUACCUGUAAUGUCCAUCUAAGAGCAUUUCCAGUGGCAAGUUUUUUCUCUUACCCUUUUUCAUCCCAAAUUGGAGAGAGUAUUUGUCAACCUUGAAAUUGCAAAAGCUGCUUCAGUAACAAAACCUCUCCAUUAGCAAACAACAUUCUGGGUGCCUCAGCUAGUAAUUCCCACUCACACAAUAGCCAUCCUUCAGGAGCCUAUUGUCAGUGAUCCCUCCAAGUAGCCUGAAAGAAAUCUGGGUAGGGAAGGAAAAACUCGAAAGAGAUGUGCAAUGAGGUAAAAUUGGUUUGGAGUAACAGAUGAAAAUAUUCUGUCAGAAAGACAUGAUACAGCUACUUAAAAUUAAAAAUUUGUAAUUAAUCUUCUAUGAAGACUAUUUUAUUUUUAUUUCCUUUUGGAGGUGGCUUUAAGGUGUCAACCUUUGAGGCUGAAUGGCAAUGAUGGGCAAAUUGAAUUACUGAGACGUGGCUAUGAACUGGCUUGAAUCGAAUCAUAAUUGUUGCCUUUCACUUCCGGAAAGUCAUAAGAAGCUGUAAAGCUGCCUCGUUGAACUGUGCAGCAGAAGUGAUGAGGACUCCAAUCCAAAACUCACCAUCCAGAACCAAAGGUGCAAAGGGCUGCUCAGGAAUUCACACUAUGUGGCCAUAGAGUCUUCAGUGGGUAUCUUCCUGAAGGGAGAGCAAUGUAUUCAUAUGAAGAACACAGAAGAGAAAGCUAAGUAUGCAAAAUGAACACGUACUGGGAGUAAGGUCCUAACAAAAAGCCAAGAAAGAGAUUUUAGGUUGAGUGCUCCGUCAGAGAUGACUGGAACUGUGAGCAGAGACACAGUCCCCUGUUAUUUGAGUCCUCUUCUGUUCAGGGAAGCAGGCUGGCAUCAGAGAAAUAGCUGACUCAUCACCAAUUUCUCCUCCUAACCAGAACAACCAGCAAAGCCCAAAUUCAUGGCUGAAUGGGAAAGAGGGGUUAUAGCAUUUAUGUAUUACUUGCCAGAAUAAUUAUGCUGGUUUAGAAAAUAGUUUUUAUCCUUUAUUCAGCACAUGGAUCCAGUUUGUCUUCUUGUCACUUGCAAAUGGACAAUGGAAAAAAAAGUACUGGCACAGGCAGAAGUGGAUCCCACACAAUAAGGUCAAGGAACCAGAACAAACACAGGGGAAAGUCCAAAGUGGGACUGUUUUUGUUUACACUGCCAAGAGAAAGCAUGAAAGAUGACACUCUUAAGCUUGGAAAAUAGGAAUCUCAUGGCAGUGAUGUUAGAAUCUCAAAAAUAAUGUGUCAAAGAUGUUGGAACAUUUAGAAUACAAUCUUUUACUGUUUCAAUGUCACCAACAUGUUGUUCUCACUAUUUUCUAUGACAAGAGAAUUUAUUGAAUCAA